GAAUUCGCCCUUAGAGUUUGAUCCUGGCUCAGGACGAACGCUGGCGGCGCGCCUAACACAUGCAAGUCGAACGGAGCUUAGAGAGCUUGCUUUUUAAGCUUAGUGGCGAACGGGUGAGUAACGCGUGAGUAACCUGCCCUAGAGUGGGGGACAACAGUUGGAAACGACUGCUAAUACCGCAUAAGCCCACGGUACCGCAUGGUACUGAGGGGAAAGGAUUUAUUCGCUUUAGGAUGGACUCGCGUCCAAUUAGCUAGUUGGUGAGGUAACGGCCCACCAAGGCGACGAUUGGUAGCCGGACUGAGAGGUUGAACGGCCACAUUGGGACUGAGACACGGCCCAGACUCCUACGGGAGGCAGCAGUGGGGGAUAUUGCACAAUGGGGGAAACCCUGAUGCAGCGACGCCGCGUGGAGGAAGAAGGUUUUCGGAUUGUAAACUCCUGUCAUUAGGGACGAUAAUGACGGUACCUAACAAGAAAGCACCGGCUAACUACGUGCCAGCAGCCGCGGUAAAACGUAGGGUGCAAGCGUUGUCCGGAAUUACUGGGUGUAAAGGGAGCGCAGGCGGGAAGACAAGUUGGAAGUGAAAACCAUGGGCUCAACCCAUGAAUUGCUUUCAAAACUGUUUUUCUUGAGUAGUGCAGAGGUAGAUGGAAUUCCCGGUGUAGCGGUGGAAUGCGUAGAUAUCGGGAGGAACACCAGUGGCGAAGGCGGUCUACUGGGCACCAACUGACGCUGAGGCUCGAAAGCAUGGGUAGCAAACAGGAUUAGAUACCCUGGUAGUCCAUGCCGUAAACGAUGAUUACUAGGUGUUGGGGGAUUGACCCCCUCAGUGCCGCAGUUAACACAAUAAGUAAUCCACCUGGGGAGUACGACCGCAAGGUUGAAACUCAAAGGAAUUGACGGGGGCCCGCACAAGCAGUGGAGUAUGUGGUUUAAUUCGAAGCAACGCGAAGAACCUUACCAAGGCUUGACAUCCCUCUGACGUAUGCAGAGAUGUAUAUUUUCUUCGGAACAGAGGAGACAGGUGGUGCAUGGUUGUCGUCAGCUCGUGUCGUGAGAUGUUGGGUUAAGUCCCGCAACGAGCGCAACCCUUAUCUUUAGUAGCCAGCAUAAAGAUGGGCACUCUAAAGAGACUGCCGUGGAUAACACGGAGGAAGGUGGGGAUGACGUCAAAUCAUCAUGCCCCUUAUGUCUUGGGCAACACACGUGCUACAAUGGACGGAACAAAGUGAGGCGAAGCCGCGAGGUGGAGCGAAGCACAAAAACCCGUUCUCAGUUCGGAUUGUAGUCUGCAACUCGACUACAUGAAGCUGGAAUCGCUAGUAAUCGCGAAUCAGAAUGUCGCGGUGAAUACGUUCCCGGGCCUUGCACACACCGCCCGUCA
This 1388-nucleotide ribosomal RNA is filed under the name uncultured bacterium. Its description in RNAcentral is "bacterial SSU rRNA". It matches the Rfam family "Bacterial small subunit ribosomal RNA". The record is from RNAcentral.